GGGUUCGGCCCUCGGCAGACGGCUCAGUAACACGUGGAUAAUCUGCCCUUAGGUGGAGAAUAACCUCGGGAAACUGAGAAUAAUACUCCAUAGAUCUAGGAUGCUGGAAUGCACUUAGAUUGAAAGUUCCGACGCCUAAGGAUGAGUCUGCGGACUAUCAGGUAGUAGUCAGGGUAAAGGCCUGACUAGCCUACGACGGAUACGGGUUGUGAGAGCAAUAACCCGGAGACGAUAUCUGAGACACGAUAUCGGGCCCUACGGGGCGCAGCAGGCGCGAAACCUUCACAAUGUGCGAAAGCACGAUGAGGGGAUCCCAAGUGCUUGCUCGUAAGAGUAAGCUGUUUUUAUGUCUAAAAAGCAUAGAGAGUAAGGGCUGGGUAAGACGGGUGCCAGCCGCCGCGGUAAUACCUGCAGCUCAAGUGGUGACCACUAUUAUUGGGCCUAAAA
Molecule: ribosomal RNA, 447 nt
Filed under: uncultured archaeon
Lineage: Archaea
Description: bacterial SSU rRNA
Rfam family: Archaeal small subunit ribosomal RNA
Source: RNAcentral